This 72-nucleotide transfer RNA is filed under the name Ictidomys tridecemlineatus (thirteen-lined ground squirrel). RNAcentral's name for it is "Spermophilus tridecemlineatus (thirteen-lined ground squirrel) tRNA". It matches the Rfam family "tRNA". From Rfam's summary of the family: Transfer RNA (tRNA) molecules are approximately 80 nucleotides in length. Their secondary structure includes four short double-helical elements and three loops (D, anti-codon, and T loops). The record is from Rfam by way of RNAcentral. Lineage: Eukaryota; Metazoa; Chordata; Mammalia; Rodentia; Sciuridae.
UGGGUUGUAGCUCAGUGAUAGAGCACUUAUCUAACAUGUGUGAGGCACUGGGCUUGAUUCUCAGCAGCACAU